RNAcentral lists this ribosomal RNA (248 nucleotides) under uncultured bacterium. RNAcentral's name for it is "partial 16S ribosomal RNA". It matches the Rfam family "Bacterial small subunit ribosomal RNA", at positions 333 to 598 of the family's 1533-position model. The record is from RNAcentral.
UGGCACCUACGGGGGCAGCAGUGGGGAAUGUUGUACAAUGGGGGAAACCCUGAUGCAGCAACGCCGCGUGAAGGAAGACGGUUUUCGGAUUGUAAACUUCUGUUCUUAGUGAAGAAAAAUGACGGUAGCUAAGGAGCAAGCCACGGCUAACUACGUGCCAGCAGCCGCGGUAAUACGUAGGUGGCAAGCGUUGUCCGGAAUUACUGGGUGUAAAGGGAGCGCAGGCGGGAAGCUAAGUCAGCUGUGAA